CUAGCCCCUGUGGCCUCAGCCAGUUUCAGCGCAUUUGGGGUUUUUUUUUUGCACUUGAGAAGCCUCAUCAACAAAUUGAGAACAAUACUAUGAAUUUCGUAACAGAGCAUUUUUUAAGUGCUCAAUAAACGUAGCCAGCCCAAGCUUGUCCCUGGAGCUCCAGGCGACAUUCAGAGGCCCAUUUAUCCUGCCAUCAACCUGGGACUGAAUUCCUAAGAUAAUUCUCCGGUGACCUUUGGAUCAUCCUCCUAAAGGUAAAAAAUGGAUCAUCUGUUGGAAGGACGGCCGCAGGUCCUUGCUGGGCGUUUUCUGAGAGCUGCUAGAGAAUGUUCUCGGGCAACGUCGGUCGAGAUAACCUGGUGCAAGUAACCUCUGCUUCUCAAAUGCUUGGAUCAAGUCAUUUUUUACGAAACCGAGCAGAGAUGAAGUUCACUUGGUUCGGCCUGCAUCCCUGAUGGGUAACUGUUCCCCCUCGCGGGUCAGUGGAAAAGCCAGUGCUGCGCUAAAGCUCUAUUUGUGCUUCAGAGUUUUUUUAUAUUUAUUUAUGCUGACUACUCCAGAUCCUAGCCAGUGGCUGAAUCACAAGUUCCCAUGGUUGCAAAAGAGCCAAUAAUGACUAAGUGGCUUUCGACCGAUGGACAGUGUUGUAGAAGGAUCUGGAAGGCCUAUGUGGCUACUGCUCAGUGUGCUGGCAGCAGGACUGAGGAUUUCUCCAGUUUGAGACCCUGUGGCUUGGAAAUCAGAAGAGAGGCAAGGUCCAAGAGAGUCGUGAUCCUGCAUUUUGGUGUGCUGCAUCAGCUUGCGUUAGUGCUUUCAAAUCCUUUCCCUUGA
This 831-nucleotide long non-coding RNA is filed under the name Vulpes vulpes (red fox). RNAcentral's name for it is "lncRNA (ENSVVUG00000017934.1)". Lineage: Eukaryota; Metazoa; Chordata; Mammalia; Carnivora; Canidae. The record is from RNAcentral.